This 505-nucleotide ribosomal RNA is filed under the name uncultured bacterium. RNAcentral describes it as "partial 16S ribosomal RNA". It matches the Rfam family "Bacterial small subunit ribosomal RNA", at positions 28 to 507 of the family's 1533-position model. The record is from RNAcentral.
GACGAACGCUGGCGGCGUGCCUAAUACAUGCAAGUAGAACGCACAGUUUAUACCGUAGCUUGCUACACCAUAAACUGUGAGUUGCGAACGGGUGAGUAACGCGUAGGUAACCUGCCUGGUAGCGGGGGAUAACUAUUGGAAACGAUAGCUAAUACCGCAUAAUAUUCAUUAUUGCAUGAUAAUUGAUUGAAAGAUGCAAUUGCAUCACUACCAGAUGGACCUGCGUUGUAUUAGCUAGUAGGUGAGGUAACGGCUCACCUAGGCGACGAUACAUAGCCGACCUGAGAGGGGGAUCGGCCAAACUGGGACUGAGACACGGCCCAGACUCCUACGGGAGGGAGCAGUAGGGAAUCUUCGGCAAUGGACGAAAGUCUGACCGAGCAACGCCGCGUGAGUGAAGAAGGUUUUCGGAUCGGAAAGCUCUGUUGUAAGAGAAGAACGGGUGUGAGAGUGGAAAGUGCACACUGUGACGGUAUCUUACCAGAAAGGGACGGCUAACUACGUG